RNAcentral lists this long non-coding RNA (1647 nucleotides) under Homo sapiens (human). RNAcentral's name for it is "non-protein coding lnc-DLK1-35:67". The stretch from base 690 to 794 matches the Rfam family "Maternally expressed 3 conserved region 2". The record is from RNAcentral. Lineage: Eukaryota; Metazoa; Chordata; Mammalia; Primates; Hominidae.
GGCCUUUGUUCUCCUGAUGGAGGGGGUCGGGCGCGGGAUCUACUGGAGGAUCCUGGAUUCGUUUACCCAAGAGGGAACAGUUUUGAGACCCCCCGGAUUCACUGCGGAGUGGCCGCAGAGGCCGGGGUCGGCCUUUGCGCCGUGGCUUCGGGUGUUGUGGAGGCGCACAGAGGCACGUUAGUUGAUUUCCAGUGGUUUUUGGUUUCGGGGGUCUUAGGAAGGUGUGGCUCAUUUGAGCAGGAUGGAGAGAGAGGCUGUGACAAGGGUCUCUCCUCAGGGAUGACAUCAUCCGUCCACCUCCUUGUCUUCAAGGACCACCUCCUCUCCAUGCUGAGCUGCUGCCAAGGGGCCUGCUGCCCAUCUACACCUCACGAGGGCACUAGGAGCACGGUUUCCUGGAUCCCACCAACAUACAAAGCAGCCACUCACUGACCCCCAGGACCAGGAUGGCAAAGGAUGAAGAGGACCGGAACUGACCAGCCAGCUGUCCCUCUUACCUAAAGACUUAAACCAAUGCCCUAGUGAGGGGGCAUUGGGCAUUAAGCCCUGACCUUUGCUAUGCUCAUACUUUGACUCUAUGAGUACUUUCCUAUAAGUCUUUGCUUGUGUUCACCUGCUAGCAAACUGGAGUGUUUCCCUCCCCAAGGGGGUGUCAGUCUUUGUCGACUGACUCUGUCAUCACCCUUAUGAUGUCCUGAAUGGAAGGAUCCCUUUGGGAAAUUCUCAGGAGGGGGACCUGGGCCAAGGGCUUGGCCAGCAUCCUGCUGGCAACUCCAAGGCCCUGGGUGGGCUUCUGGAAUGAGCAUGCUACUGAAUCACCAAAGGCACGCCCGACCUCUCUGAAGAUCUUCCUAUCCUUUUCUGGGGGAAUGGGGUCGAUGAGAGCAACCUCCUAGGGUUGUUGUGAGAAUUAAAUGAGAUAAAAGAGGCCUCAGGCAGGAUCUGGCAUAGAGGAGGUGAUCAGCAAAUGUUUGUUGAAAAGGUUUGACAGGUCAGUCCCUUCCCACCCCUCUUGCUUGUCUUACUUGUCUUAUUUAUUCUCCAACAGCACUCCAGGCAGCCCUUGUCCACGGGCUCUCCUUGCAUCAGGCACGUGGGCCGUGGCCCGGCUGGGUCGGCUGAAGAACUGCGGAUGGAAGCUGCGGAAGAGGCCCUGAUGGGGCCCACCAUCCCGGACCCAAGUCUUCUUCCUGGCGGGCCUCUCGUCUCCUUCCUGGUUUGGGCGGAAGCCAUCACCUGGAUGCCUACGUGGGAAGGGACCUCGAAUGUGGGACCCCAGCCCCUCUCCAGCUCGAAAUCCCACGGGGACACCCUGCACCUAUUCCCACGGGACAGGCUGGACCCAGAGACUCUGGACCCGGGGCCUCCCCUUGAGUAGAGACCCGCCCUCUGACUGAUGGACGCCGCUGACCUGGGGUCAGACCCGUGGGCUGGACCCCUGCCCACCCCGCAGGAACCCUGAGGCCUAGGGGAGCUGUUGAGCCUUCAGUGUCUGCAUGUGGGAAGUGGGCUCCUUCACCUACCUCACAGGGCUGUUGUGAGGGGCGCUGUGAUGCGGUUCCAAAGCACAGGGCUUGGCGCACCCCACUGUGCUCUCAAUAAAUGUGUUUCCUGUCUUAACAAAAACUGAUGGAUGUGCUACUAAUA